GUUUUUGCGGGUGCUGGCCUCGCGGACCGAGCAAGCUGCCAUAUUUGUUUCGGUGCGUUGUUCAAAGAAAAGGCGAAAAUUUGAAGAUUUUUAGUUUUAUUUGUUUUAUACAUCUAAAAUUCCAGUCAACAGGAACCAUCGAGGGAGCUAUCAACCACAAUUCAGACGGGAAUUGGUUGUUUCUUUUUGCACAGCUUGGAUUCAGGAAGAAACUCCACUGGAAAAGGCUCGCAGGUCCGCAGUGGCGUCGGAAUUUAUCCUGAUGAGGUGGCCGGUCGUCAAAUUCACAUCAGCGAUCAUCGAUGCUACAACGGAUUUGCUGCCAGCGAUCGUGCACAAUCCUCACCUCACCCGAUGCAUCCAGGAAUGCCCUCAAUGUAAAUGAUGGAACCCUCGCAGCAUAGCGACCACCAAACCACAAUGGUAGCAUUCCGAUGGGCGAUGCAGUGGAGCCUCCGAUGUUCACUUUUUACUUCCACCCGGUUCCGGGUCGAAUAUGGAGAACAAUACAUAUACGCUUCUGCAUACAGAGCGGCCUCGGUCCCUCGUGGAACUGCUCAGCAGAACUUGCAUCGAUAGAGUAUAUCGAUUAAAUGUGCCGUAGUGAAAAAUAGCACCUUGCAGAAAAUCUGUUCGUUUCCAUUCAGGAAUCGGCUACGUUCCAGCUGACAGCGAAAAAUUUUAUUCCGCGAGGGAUUACACAGCA
Molecule: long non-coding RNA, 706 nt
Organism: Aedes albopictus (Asian tiger mosquito)
Lineage: Eukaryota; Metazoa; Arthropoda; Insecta; Diptera; Culicidae
Exons: 3
Source: RefSeq, a predicted model, not a curated record